RNAcentral lists this ribosomal RNA (1162 nucleotides) under human gut metagenome. Its description in RNAcentral is "bacterial LSU rRNA". It matches the Rfam family "Bacterial large subunit ribosomal RNA", at positions 1766 to 2925 of the family's 2925-position model. The record is from RNAcentral.
ACGCGAGUAGGCCGCAGAGAAUAGUCUCAAGCGACUGUUUAGCAAAAACACAGGUCUAUGCUAAAUCGAAAGAUGAUGUAUAUGGGCUGACGCCUGCCCGGUGCUGGAAGGUUAAGGGGAAGUGUUAGAGCAAUCGAAGCACUGAACUUAAGCCCCAGUAAACGGCGGCCGUAACUAUAACGGUCCUAAGGUAGCGAAAUUCCUUGUCAGGUAAGUUCUGACCCGCACGAAUGGCGUAACGACUUGAGAGCUGUCUCAACAACAUACCCGGCGAAAUUGAAGUACUGGUAAAGAUGCCAGUUACCCGUGAUAAGACGGAAAGACCCCAUGGAGCUUUACUGUAACUUGAUAUUGAAUUUUUGUAUUACAUGUACAGGAUAGGUGGGAGACAGAGAACUAAUGCCGCCAGGUGUUAGGGAGUCGAUGUUGGGAUACCACUCUUGUAAUAUGAAGGUUCUAACCUGCACCCGUGAAUCCGGGUGGGGGACACUGUCAGGUGGACAGUUUGACUGGGGCGGUCGCCUCCUAAAAGGUAACGGAGGCGUUCAAAGGUUGGUUCAGCACGGACGGAAAUCGUGCAACGAGUGCAAACGCAUAAACCAGCCUAACUGCGAGACCGACAAGUCGAGCAGUAACGAAAGUUGGAGUUAGUGAUCCGGCGGUAUGAGAGUGGAAUUGCCGUCGCUCAACGGAUAAAAGCUACCCUGGGGAUAACAGGCUGAUCUCCCCCAAGAGUCCACAUCGACGGGGAGGUUUGGCACCUCGAUGUCGGCUCAUCGCAUCCUGGAGCUGUAGUCGGUUCCAAGGGUUGGGCUGUUCGCCCAUUAAAGCGGUACGCGAGCUGGGUUCAGAACGUCGCGAGACAGUUCGGUCCCUAUCUAUCACGGGCGUAGGAAAUUUGAGGAGAGCUGACCUUAGUACGAGAGGACCGGGUUGGACGUACCGCUGGUGCACCUGUUGUUCUGCCAAGGGCAUAGCAGGGUAGCUAAGUACGGACGGGAUAAACGCUGAAGGCAUCUAAGCGUGAAGCCCCCUUCGAGAUAAGAUUUCCCAUAGCGUAGGCUAGUAAGGACCCAUGAAGACUACAAGGUUGAUAGGCCGGAGGUGGAAGUGCAGUAAUGUAUGUAGCUGACCGGUACUAAUAGUCCGAGGGCUUGACCAA